Long non-coding RNA from Myotis davidii, 1009 nucleotides. RefSeq lists it as uncharacterized. The transcript has 3 exons. Lineage: Eukaryota; Metazoa; Chordata; Mammalia; Chiroptera; Vespertilionidae. The record is from RefSeq and is a predicted model, not a curated record.
GCACGAUUCCCCUUGUCUGAGAAAUAGUUAAGAUGGUAAAUUUCAUCACAUUGAAAAAUAUUGAGGCAGAGAAAAGAUUCCUGCCAAGAGUGCCGAGGUUCGCCAUUGCCAAGACACGAUCCCUUCUGACUGCGGACACGCCGGGCAGCGCUGAGGGCAGCUGAAGCCAUCAGAACUAGCUCAUCGAGGUCAACCAAAAGCCAACUAACCAAACAAACCCUGGGGGGUUCUGAUUGUAAAUACACUCAUCUGUAAAUCAAUUUGGAGAGAAUUGACAUCUUUACAAUGCUGAAGCUUCAAGCCAUGGACCUGGUGUAACCUCCAUUUAUUUCAGUUUUCUUUAGUUGCUCUCAAGGAUGUUUGACAGUUUUCUAGAAGUAUGCUAGGGCGUUGGUCCCUCAGCCUUUGGUAGUCUGGGCAGAGCCUGGGCAGCCAGCCUGGCCCGAGGCAGAUCACUCCAGCCUUGGACAGACGGGCAGAUGUUGACCCUAGUGAAUUAUACAACUAUCAUCAACUUCUCUGUGGGAAAAUGUUGGGAAGCAUUGAGAGGUCUUUCCAGUUUUCUGUUCCUGACCAUUUGCACAAACCUCUGUGCUGUGCGUGGGCAAGAAUGCCACCAAGUGUCCUGAACUCCCGAGCUGCCCAAUGUGUACUUGUAGCCCGCUCACUUCACCAGCCUAUCGGUACCCUGUGUGCCCAUAAACUAAGAGGGCUUGUUCUGGCAAAAACAUUAAUAAUGCGGCUGUGUGCUGAGCACUCUCUGGUUCUGGGGGAUGUACAAACGCCUUCUUAGGGCUUCAAGGAGCACCGUGAGGUCGUUAGUCUGACCUGUAUUUUACAGAAGAACACCUAGAGCUUUGAGAGGCAAAGUGACUGCGAAAUGGUAGAACUGCUUCCUCAAACAUGACGGACUAGAUCCUCUGAAAACCCUUCCUCUACAAAGUUUGUAGAAAUACUGGGUGAAACACAGAAAAACAUUUUUAAAAAUAGAUAGUUGAACUUGGGAGAA